GGGGACAUGAAGUCCAAGAAGCUUUUGCCCUUGCUCGAUUCUGCCCUCAGUCUCGGGCUCUGCUUCAUUGCUUUUAAUUGCAUGGGGAAUGCGACGGCGGGCUACGGAAACGAAGAGGGCUGAAACCAAGCCCUGAAUCAUUCUGCUUGGGUAACUGGGAAGCACGCAACAAUAGGAAAUAUGGAAACCACACAGGAUAAGAGUAUUAUAUGAUGACUUUCCACAUCAACCCUGGGACACUGGAAAGAGAAAGAGAAGUAUGUGGCAUACUGCUAGUUUUUGUCCAAAUAAGUCAACUGUCGGUUUUGCAGUUCCAUUGAAUGAAGGGAUGAAAGACGCAGAAGACUUCAUCAGUAACAACACUUUCCCACAAGAAAUCCUUUAUGUUCUGUUAGCCAAGAAGGUCAAACACUUCAACGAAUACCAGCUUUGAUAACCUAUGGUAAACUUUCUGCUUACCUGCCCCAGACAUCUGAUUGCUGCUUUUCCACACAUCUAAAACAUAAUGACAUUCCUGCCCUGAAAAAUUGACAAUAUGAUGGUGGUGAAACAGAGGAAGAAAACAAGCUAUUGUUGAGGCUGGAAGUGUCUGCAGCCAAGAAUAACAAAGAUCUCUCUGGUGCCACUUCUUUCAUCAAUGUUCUUAUUCCUUUCUAUUGUGUGCCACUACUCUGAAAAUUUAUUAUGAGCCUAGAGCAACAAAAUAACAUAAAAAAUAAUAUUGAUGAGCCAACACAAACUUCCAAAUGUCAGGCAAGGCUUUCCUCUGACUAGACAUGAUGUGAACAAAGAGAAUAAAACAAGAUGUUCUAUAACAAUGUCUAUAUAAUGAUUUUUUUUUAACAGAACAUGUGAUGUCUGACAAUCCUAAGAGAUUUCAUCUGUCAGCCUUUAUACAAACAUAAAAUUUAAUUUCAAACUUCAUUUCAUCCUAAGAAUCGAUUGCAAGCUGCCAUCACAAGCCUUUCUCAGGGAGAUAUUAGCUUAGCAAUGACCUUGCAGCACAUAAGAAACUAAAGAGCUUGUGAGAGCUUGUUUGAUCUUCACCCAGACAGUCUGAGACAGAGAAAAUUCCCAUCCAUUCUUAAUAGAAACAAGAGCAGGGUUUUACUUUAGAGGUGUCUUUUAAAGCACAAAGAGAGGUGAUAAGCUUUCCACAGUUUCUCAAGUCCUAGUAGUAAUUAACUAAAUAACUAAAAUCCACAUUUGCUAUUAUAAGUGGGAUGUUUAAUUAUCCAGUUCUUCUUCUGUUGCCAACUAAUCUCCUAGUUCAGAAUCUUUAUGAUGCACAUCCUUAUGCACAAUUGACCCCUUCACUGAACUGAAUACAGAUACCCUUACAAGUGAAGGAAC
Hemicordylus capensis (graceful crag lizard) is the source of this 1353-nucleotide long non-coding RNA. RefSeq lists it as uncharacterized. The transcript is spliced from 4 exons. Lineage: Eukaryota; Metazoa; Chordata; Lepidosauria; Squamata; Cordylidae. The record is from RefSeq and is a predicted model, not a curated record.